Molecule: long non-coding RNA, 1933 nt
Filed under: Centruroides sculpturatus (bark scorpion)
Lineage: Eukaryota; Metazoa; Arthropoda; Arachnida; Scorpiones; Buthidae
Description: uncharacterized LOC111630717, transcript variant X2
Source: RNAcentral
UAAAAAUCGAUUAACAAUGAAAUCGUUCUAUCUGAAAAAUAUCGGAAGAUUGAAAUCGUAAAGUUUUGUUGAAUUCUGCGAAAGGCAAUGGGAUUACGGCAUUACAUUAUCGAAGAUGAAUGAAGGCAAUCAAAUUAAAAAGAUUCGGAUAGGUUGGAAGGAAAUAACGCUUUUGCUGUACCUUAACUCAUUGUCUACCAUUCGUCUCUAAGCCAUCCUCAGAGUUUUCUCCUCGUCGAUAAAGCGACACGUUCAUCAAAUUAUAUACAAGAAAACAAACAUAUGUAUUGAAUUGGAGCAGCAUUUCACGCCAAUCAUGCGAUGACUCUACUUUUUGGAUUCGCCACAAGAUUCAAUUUAAAAAUAGAACUUAAACUUCUGUGAUUUACACCAUUCACUCACUAAUUCUACUUUUCGAAUUUAUUACAGGAUCUCCCGUCUGAAAGUAGGGCAUAUUCUGCACAGUCGCUGAUAAAUUGUGUACCGGCUAUAGAUAACAAUUCGAUUGCAGCAUCAUUUUUUUCCUAUCUCAAAUAAUUUGGGUUGUCGUAAUGCGAAAAUUAUUUGAAAUAUCCAUGGAAAUACGAAAGCUGUACCAAAAGUAAAUAAUAGAUUCCGAACAGAAGCAACGUGCCGUCAUCCAGUUCUUGAAGGAAAGGUGCAGGCCGUCGGAUACCCACAGAGACUACAGAAUGUUUACCAAGUAAUAUAAAAGAUCGAUGAAAAAGUUUAACGAAGGACAAACCAACAUUGAAGACAAAUCACUCAGCAUGAAACCAUACAGUGGUCUCCCGCUUCGUGGUUUGCCUUCUCUGUUUGACAUUCUCACCUCAUUGCAGUUGUACGAUGUGGUGAGAAUGUCAAAGACUUAGAAUAUCGGACCACCGAUCAUCAAAGUUUCUUUUGAGUUUUUGGGUAACGAGUAUAUAUAACUACGUUUUGCAGCAUAAUUUUAUAAGAGUAGAUUAGUAGACUUUUAUAAAUGAAUAAGGUUGUGGAAAUGUUCGAUACUUUUGACUGUAAAUUAGAUCACGCCUCACUAUAAAUUGGCUGGACCUAUGGAUCAAAGUGAGAAGAUUGCAGUUUUUGACUGUUAGUUUUGUAUUAUAAGAGUAGGCCUAAUAAACAUUCCGAAUGUGUGGAUUAGGGUGGGUGAAACUCUAUACGUGAAGUUGACGUGCAGAGUUACACGCAUUCUAAUUCUAGGUGGAACUCUCACACGGCCACCUCCACGUGGUGAGUUCUGGGUUGUCAUUCGUCGAGAAAAGACGAAAGGCAAGCGAAGGGCCGUGUACAGUGAUAUUGUGUUCGUGUGUGUAUGUUGUGUGCGUGUGAUCCAAGUACAUCUUUCGGUGUGUCUAAAAACAGAAAAACAGUAAAUUACGAUACGAGAAUAAGACGUGUAGAGAAGAGUUCUUACCAUCGGAGACUUUGGGAAAUAUUAUAAAUGGCUACUUCGUCCUCUUCGUGGUAAAGUUAAGAAGGGAGAUUUUUCUCCGUUUCAAAUGUUCCUACAAAACACAAAGAGUGAGAAAGCGAAAAGUUCAUUUAUUAUCUAAGGUCAACAUUAUUUCCUUUAUCAGUCUUUCUUCCGAACAGUGUCACGAGAAGAGCGAAGGACCUGACCUAGCCUAAUCUAACCUAACCGGAAGCUCAAUCCUAAUAACAGCUGUUUGGGAAGAAAUGUCGGUCGCAUGUCGCGUCCAAUGAGUAAACGUGUCACGUCAGGGUGGUCACAAUCGGGAGUCAAAUCCGUUCUCGUCGACCGAGUGUCACAUUCGGGAGACAAGUCCGUGAUAAGAGACGGUCACGUCAGGGAAAAGGUGUCUAAUCCGGUAAGAAAGUCGCAUCCGGGUGAAGAAGGACGAAUUAGGAAAAAUCGAAGAGGAUCACCGUCUAGGCCAAGGGAACCGCAGCCGUCCGCAGCAACAAA